ACGCUCGACACCUACGGGAGGUAGCAGUAGGGAAUCUUCCACAAUGGACGCAAGUCUGAUGGAGCAACGCCGCGUGAGUGAAGAAGGUCUUCGGAUCGUAAAACUCUGUUGUUAGAGAAGAACACGAGUGAGAGUAACUGUUCAUUCGAUGACGGUAUCUAACCAGCAAGUCACGGCUAACUACGUGCCAACAGCCGCGGUAAUCUGAGCGGGCUGGCAAGGC
Molecule: ribosomal RNA, 223 nt
Filed under: uncultured bacterium
Lineage: Bacteria
Description: partial 16S ribosomal RNA
Rfam family: Bacterial small subunit ribosomal RNA
Source: RNAcentral